RNAcentral lists this long non-coding RNA (1217 nucleotides) under Homo sapiens (human). Its description in RNAcentral is "HSALNT0361076". Lineage: Eukaryota; Metazoa; Chordata; Mammalia; Primates; Hominidae. The record is from RNAcentral.
GUGUUACCUGCCCACAGCAUAAUGCUAGGCAAUGUCCAGCCGUUCCACCCGGCAUACAAGCUUAUGGAGCAGCCCCCUUUGAAGAUCUCCAGGUGGACUUCACAGAGAUGUCAAAGUGUAGAGGUGAUCGAGUGUGGAUCAAGAACUGGAACGUAGCCUCUUUGUGUCCACUGUGGAAAGGACCCCAGACUGUCGUUCUGAGCCCUCCCACCGCUGUGAAGGUAGAAGGAAUCCCAGCCUGGAUCCACCACAGCCAUGUAAAACCUGCAGCGCGUGAAACCUGGGAGGCAAGACCAAGCCCAGACAACCCUUUCAGAGUGACCCUGAAGAAGACGACAAGCCCUGCUCCAGUCACACCCGGAAGCUGACUGGUCCACGCACGGCCGAAGCCUGAGGAAGCUCAUCGUGAGAUUCAUUUUUCUUAAAUUUUGGACUUAUACAGUAAGGGCUUCAACUGAUCUUACUCAAACUGGGGACUGUUCCCAGUGUAUUCAUCAGGUCACCGAAGUAGGACAGCAAAUUAAAACAAUCUUUCUGUUCUAUAGUUAUUAUGAAUGUGUGGAAACAAUAAAAGAAACUUGUUUGUAUAAUGCCACUCAGUGCAAGGUAUGUAGCCCGAGAAAUGACCGACCUGAUGCGUGUUAUAACCCAUCUGAGCCCUCCGCAACCACCGUUUUUGAAAUAAGAAUAAGAACUGGCCUUUUCCUAGGUGAUACAAGUAAAAUAAUAACUAGAACAGAAGAAAAAGAAAUUCCCAAGCAAAUAACUUUAAGAUUUGAUGCUUGUGCAGCCAUUAAUAGUAAAAAGCUAGAAAUAGGAUGUGGUUCUCUUAACUGAGAAAGGAGCUAAAGAGUAGAAAAUAAAUAUGUUUGUCAUGAGUCAGGGGUUUGUAAAAAUUGUGCCUAUUGGCCAUGUGUUAUUUAGGCUACUUAAAAAAAGAACAAAAAGGAACCGGUUUAUCUUCAGAAGGGGGAAGCCAACCCCUCCUGUGCUGCCAGUCACUGUAACCCACUAGAACUAAUAAUUACCAAUCCCCUAGAUCCCCGUUGGAAAAAGGGAGAACGUGUAACCCUGGGGAUCAAUAGGACAGGGUUAAACCCUCAAGUUGCCAUUGUAAUUAGAGGGGAGGUCCACAAGUGCUCUCCCAAACCAGUAUUUCAAACCUUUUAUGAGGAGCUGAAUGUGCCAGCACCAGAACUUCUGAAAAAGACAAAAAA